RNAcentral lists this unclassified non-coding RNA (1044 nucleotides) under Hevea brasiliensis (rubber tree). Lineage: Eukaryota; Viridiplantae; Streptophyta; Magnoliopsida; Malpighiales; Euphorbiaceae. The record is from RNAcentral.
GGCCAAAGCCGGAGUUAAAAUCUCCUUUGUAUCAACUCCAAGAAACAUCCAAAGACUCCCUAAAAUUCCUGCAAAUUUAGAGACACUCAUAAACUUUGUGGAGUUUUCAUUGCCAACCUUAGAAGAGGAAUCCCUACCAGAAGGAGCAGAGGCCACUGUUGAUAUUCCUCCUGAGAAAAUCGUGCCCCUGAAGAUUGCAUAUGAUCUCCUCCAACACCCCUUGAAGCAGUUUGUAGCCGACCAACGGCCUGAUUGGAUUGUCAUCGAUUUAAUUUCUCACUGGAUGGUGGAUAUUGCCAGAGAAAACAAAGUUCCUUUGUUGUAUUUCUCUGUUUUCUCUGCUUCUUCAUAUCUUUUUCUCGGCCAUCCUCGGUGCUUGGCCGGUGAUAGUCAAAAGAAGCUUCGGCCGUCAUGGGAGAGUAUGACUUCACCACCAGAGUGGGUUGACUUUCCUUCAUCCGUAGCUUAUCGGAAGUACGAGGCUAUCGGUGCUUUUGAAUGGAUCUAUGGAACAAAUGCUUCUGGUAUAUCAGAUGCUGAAAGGGUUGCCAAAAUAUUGAAUUCCUGCCAAGGCUUGAUUAUACGUAGCUGCCUGGAGUUUGAAGGUGAUUACUUGAACUCAUUGCACAAGGUAAUGGGAAAACCAGUACUUCCUUUGGGUUUGUUACCGCUAGAGAAACCAAAAACAAGAGAAAUCAGUGAUGGUUCAUGGGGUGAAAUCUUUAAUUGGCUUGAUCACCAGAAGCCCAAGUCGGUUGUUUUUGUAAGUUUUGGUAGCGAGUUUAAGCUAAGCAAAGAUCAAGUUUACGAGAUUGCCUACGGCCUAGAGCUAUCGGGAUUGCCAUUUUUGUGGGCACUAAGGAAACCCAGUUGGGCAAUUCUUGAUCUUGAUGCUUUGCCUCUGGGAUUUAGCCAACGAACAUGUGGAAAAGGGUUUGUUAGCAUCGGAUGGGCACCACAGAUGGAGAUUUUGGGACACCCAUCAAUUGGAGGGUCAUUGUUUCACUCAGGUUGGGGCUCUGUUAUUGAAACUCUGGAAUUUGG